Molecule: RNA transcript, 1458 nt
Organism: Artibeus jamaicensis (Jamaican fruit-eating bat)
Lineage: Eukaryota; Metazoa; Chordata; Mammalia; Chiroptera; Phyllostomidae
Gene name: interferon regulatory factor 4-like
Exons: 8
Source: RefSeq, a predicted model, not a curated record
GCUUUCGCCGCGUCCACGCGCCGCUCAGGUGGCCCCACGAUCGCCAGUUGAGCUGGGGUCCAAUCGACCGCACGCCCCAGACCUGGCUCCUGGAGCACCGCGUUCCCAAUGGCCGGCGACCCCUGGCGGAGGGAGGAAGGGAAGGUCCCCGAUGACGGGAGACCCACGGCGGGGGCCAGUGGUCCCCUGCGCCUCCGAGACUGGCUGGUGGCACAGAUCGAGAGCGGGCGCUACGCGGGGUUGCGCUGGGAGGACGAGGGCAAGACUCUGUUCCGCAUCCCCUGGAAGCACGCGGCCAAGCAGGGUUACCGGGCGCAGCAGGACGCGGCGCUCUUCAGGGCCUGGGCCAUAUACAAGGGCAAGCACCUAGAGGGCACUGACAAGGAGGACCCCUCCACUUGGAAGACUCGGCUUCGCUGCGCCCUCAACAAGAGUGCCGACUUCUGGGAGGUGCGUGAGCGCAGCCAGCUGGACAUCUCCAACCCCUACAAGGUCUACCGGAUUGUGUCCGACGGUGCCCAUGGCCCAGUUGCCAGGGCUUGUUCUUCCUCUGAAGAGAAGGGCAUUCUCCAGAGCCAGCAGGAGCCCCCUCGAGAAGUGAUGGAGCCAGCCCGCAGGACAGACCAGGUUGGCUCCAGAUUAGCCAUAGAUGAUAAAGACAAGGAGCGGCCCCUCAGACUGGCCCAGCAGGGCUCAUCGCCACCAGCUGCCCUGCUCCCAGGCCCUUUGGCUGAUCACAGGUACCAGGCACAGGACCCCGUACACACCUGGAGUCUUGUGCCCUCUGAGGACUUCAGCAACCCGGAUUGCUGGCUGCACGUGCGACUGUUCUACGGAGCCGAGCUGGUGCGCGAAGCCACGGCGCACGCAGCGGAGGGCUGCCAACUGAGCCCGCGGGCAGCCGUCGCCUCCGCCGCGGAGCGCUUGCUGGGGCCGCCGCCGCGCAUCGCGCAGGUUCCUUUCCCCGAGCCGCCGCCCGGAGCCCGCGUGCUGCAGCGCCUGCUGCCGCACCUGGAGCGCGGCGUGUUGCUGUGGGUGGCGCCCGAGGGCGUGUUCGCCAAGCGCCUGUGCCAGGGCCGCGUGUACUGGCGCGGCCCGCUUGCCCCGCACCGCGAGCAGCCCAACAAACUGGAGCGCGAGCGCACCUGCCAGCUACUCGACACCCGCCGGUUCCUCGCAGGGCACAAGGCGGGCGCCCGGCGGGGUUCCCCAUCUUGGCCCAGCCCCUACAGUCUCAGUGCCCGUAGAACUGCAGGCCCACCUGCAGGACGGUCGCCGGGAGCCCGAGUACCAGAUCCGACUGUGCUUUGGUGAGGAGUACCCAGGCCCCCCGGACCAGCCCCAGGAGCGGCUCGUCAUGGCCCACGUGGAGCCUGUCUUUGCCCGAGAACUCCUGCUACACUCAAAGCACCACAGCCACGGUGCCCUGGCGGCUGGUCCCUAGUCCACAAAUCUCCA